Stegostoma tigrinum is the source of this 350-nucleotide long non-coding RNA. RefSeq lists it as uncharacterized. The record is from RefSeq and is a predicted model, not a curated record. Lineage: Eukaryota; Metazoa; Chordata; Chondrichthyes; Orectolobiformes; Stegostomatidae. The transcript has 3 exons.
GGAAAUAGUAUGUCUUUGCCUUUUCAUGAACGAACAUCACUCUGCAUUCAUGAUGUCAACAAGAGCAGAUUAUUCUUUCUGCCGCUGGCUACCAAGCAAGUUUACAGCAACGAAACACAAAGGGCCAGAGUUGGAAAACUGGUGAGACAAAGGAUGACUGUGAAUGAAACUCCAGUGGCUGUUUGAACAGAAAUUCUGGAAUCCACACUUGAAGAAGAGGGAUGGCCCAGCAGCCAAGAGGAUGAAGGAAGUCUAUGGUUUUCAUCACGAACUAAAGCCCAGGAUAUUCUUCAAUAUAGAGGAUUGCAUGCACAGAAAGGAGCAGUGAAUGAAGAUGCUCAGUCCUAGUG